Long non-coding RNA from Bacillus rossius redtenbacheri, 1470 nucleotides. RefSeq lists it as uncharacterized. Lineage: Eukaryota; Metazoa; Arthropoda; Insecta; Phasmatodea; Bacillidae. The transcript has 2 exons. The record is from RefSeq and is a predicted model, not a curated record.
GCAGUCGUUCAGUCUCUGGACUCUAAGGCUGUCACUGCAGCGGUGGCUCUGCGUUCCGGUAAGUGUGUGAGGCCUCUGGCCAGCUCGGUGCAAGACUUGCGAGAGUUCAGCAAGAGCUCCGGCCGCAGAGUCCCGUGGAGCCGGGCAUACUAGGCGAGCGAACUGCCAACUAUCUGCACGCUAUGAACUGUGUCCAGGACAAUAACUGCAUGAUUGUUUACACUCACAUUACAAACUGUUAACUUUCCAAAAUAGAGGCUGCAACUUUAAACUUUGUACAUUUCAUAAAUAGUAUGUAAAUUUUUUGUACAACUCUAUUUAAAUAAUUGUAUUUUUUGUGGGAAUUUACUGGUGCCUAUUUAUUAAUUUUAAUUGGUAAUAGCCCUUUUGAAACUUACUGGAAUUUUGGCUAGGUUGUAUGAUUCAGCAUAAGCAUAACCAACAUAUUGAAAGUUUUUUUUUUAAGUUUAUUGUAUUUGAUAUGUAAUUUUGAUGUGUGCAGAUGCCAAUUUGUGUGCUGGAUUUAUAUUUAGGGUUAUUUGUGUGUCUAUUUAUUCAUAUUUUGCUCUUAUUAAAUUUCUGUAGAUUUUGUAUUUUGUAACUUGAGGUUUUAUAUUUUUAACUUCUUUUUAUGCCAUUUUUUUAUUGAGCACCUCAAGGGAAGGUUUAUAGUUUUUAUGUGAAUUUUGGCAGUUUUCUGCAGUUCAUUUUUUUCCCCUUCUCCUGUUACUCUGUGAGAUCUUUUAACUAGACCACAAUGCACAAUGCAUUGUAAAAGAGUGUUAAAGGUCCAACAAAUAUGAGAAUAUGUGUGCUUAAAGAUUUCUCCAAUAAAUAAUCCACCAUUUUGAGAACUGCCAUAGCAAACAUAAUUAAUGUUUUCACAUGUGUGCCUAACGGCCACCCUACAGAUCUACAGAUAUUUUUCUGAUACAGUUUCUAUAAUAUUAAGGGAUCCGCCUGUGUCAGUGAGGCAGGAAGAUAAGUGGGAUGCUCGCUGGUGUUCUAGCGUUGUAUCGCCUCCAAGCGCCAGGCUGUGGACGGUGCACAGUCCUGUCUUCCUGUAUACGACAACUAUGAGACUUCAGCAGUUACUAUGUCAUUAUAUGAUGGAGAAAUGAAAAAAAACAUGUAUUGGAAGCCCCUUGGGUGCUUUCAAGAAUCUGUACCAGAUGUUUCAUACUGAAAAAUUAUUUUGUAAACAAUCACCACUUUUAUAAUCACAUGGUUUUCUCUGAAUCUCGGCACACUGUAGGUGCGCCAAGGCAGGUGGGCUCUAAGACUGAGCUGCAAAUACCAUGUUGAGUUAUUGCACUUUCUGGUCUUUUUUUUUAUCUAGAACAAUCUCUACAGAUUUUCCAGUCUAAGAAUUUCAUAUUGUGUUUUGUAGCAACAUAUACAUUGACUCAUCAUCUGCUAUUUGUAAAAAUUACAGCCAAUUUACAUUAUUAAAAAUUUUUUCGAAAUAAA